ACAGCCCAAGCGGCUCGAGGCGGUGACCACCCUGCAGACCCAGGACCCGCAGCGCCGGCAACAGCUGAACAGAGCGGGCUCUCCCGGACCGCCCAGACUCGGGGUGAGCGGGAAGCUGAGCGCAGCGCCCUCUAGCGGGGACGAGGCACAGCGCCGCCGAUGAGGUCACCGCCGCGAGGCCUGCCGGGAGCCUGAGCUGCGGGGUCAGCGCGGAGCGGGGCUUGGACGCCUGUGUGACCCGCGUCGUCGCGGAGGACUCCGCGGACUCCCAGGCCGGGCCGGGCUCGAGGUCCCCGGGCGCUGUCCGACUCCGCCCGCCCCCCGCGGCUCUGGACUCCAGCCGCGCCGCCGCAGGGAUCGCCGGAGUGGGCCUCAUGCUCGCCGGGACGUGGUGUACCCAGGAGGCCGCUUUAUGUGGGCCCUUUGCAUUUUUUUUCCCUUUGCAUAUUUUUGCUAUGUGCCCAGAUCAGAGGUGAAGAGUACCAAGCAGAUACUCUGACUGUACCAACCAGAGAAAUAGUUAUUUCUAGAAAAUCAGUUUCCCCCGGGGUGGUGGCACACACCUGUAAUCCCAGCCCUCGGGAGGCCGAGGCAGGAGGAUCGCUGCAAGUUCGAGGCCAGCCUGGCUCACAAAGUGAGUUCAAGGCCAGUGUGAACUACAUAGUGAGACCUGUCUCAGAAAAGAGAAGAUUCUGGAGAACCUUAGAUACAAACCUAAAAUAAGACUUGUUCUGUAAUCAUUAUGGAAGACAAUAAAAGACUGUAGGGCUGGGGAUUUAACUCAGCGGCAAAAGCGCCUGCCUGGCAAGCGCAAGGUCGUGAGUUCGGUUCCCGGUACCGGAGAAAAACCAAAAAAAAAAAAAAAGACUGUAAGCUGUGUAAAAAAAGAAAAGAAAAAAGAAAAGAGAAGACGGGAGGGGGAGAAGGGGCAGGCAGGGAAGGUCACCCCUAUAAGUAUGGGCAAGACAAAGGUGCUCACCGCUGAGCUUCCUCUGCCAUACCGCUCCCUUGCUGUGCGCUCUCCCCUACCUUUGCAAUAUAAUACAAUAAAACUUGUGCUUUACUUUAUCUGUGUUUCUCGUUUUUUUUCUUUUGUGGUACUGGGGAUCGAAUUUAGGACGUUGUGCUUGCUAAGCAGGCGCUUGUGCCACUGAGCUAUAUCCCCAGCCCUGUGUUUCUCAUUAAGCGCUGGAGAGACUUUUCGAAUCUGAGUCAGUCUCACUUCAUCCCUUGCAAUCCUGCCAGGGCGAAGUGUUAAGCAGGGCAGUGGAAGGUGUCUUCCCGGGCGGACCCCAGCCCUCCACCUGACGCAGCACCGCCCACUGCAGCCCGUUGCCUGCCCUGCAGCUGGAGGAGGUGUUUCUGUAAAGAUUCUGUGGCUCCG
This 1384-nucleotide long non-coding RNA is filed under the name Chinchilla lanigera (long-tailed chinchilla). RNAcentral's name for it is "lncRNA (ENSCLAG00000027264.1)". Lineage: Eukaryota; Metazoa; Chordata; Mammalia; Rodentia; Chinchillidae. The record is from RNAcentral.